RNAcentral lists this ribosomal RNA (253 nucleotides) under uncultured bacterium. Its description in RNAcentral is "partial 16S ribosomal RNA". It matches the Rfam family "Bacterial small subunit ribosomal RNA", at positions 524 to 776 of the family's 1533-position model. The record is from RNAcentral.
UACGUAGGCAGCGAGCGUUGUUCGGAGUUACUGGGCGUAAAGGGUGCGUAGGCGGUUGGUUAAGUUUGGUGUGAAAUCUCCCGGCUCAACUGGGAGGGUGCGCCGAAUACUGAAUGACUAGAGUGCGGGAGAGGAGAGUGGAAUUCCUGGUGUAGCGGUGAAAUGCGUAGAUAUCAGGAGGAACACCGGUGGUGUAGACGGCUCUCUGGACCGUAACUGACGCUGAGGCACGAAAGCGUGGGUAGCAAACAGG